ACAAUCUUCAUCUAUAUGCUUUAU
RNAcentral lists this non-coding RNA (24 nucleotides) under Arabidopsis thaliana (thale cress). The record is from RNAcentral. Lineage: Eukaryota; Viridiplantae; Streptophyta; Magnoliopsida; Brassicales; Brassicaceae.